Molecule: long non-coding RNA, 449 nt
Filed under: Mytilus galloprovincialis (Mediterranean mussel)
Lineage: Eukaryota; Metazoa; Mollusca; Bivalvia; Mytilida; Mytilidae
Source: RNAcentral
ACUGUACAAAUAGAAUGAAAUUCAAAACAGUGUGGCUGUGGCCAUUGAUUGACACAUUGAAUUCAUCCAUUGACUGGGACAAUUUAGGUGAACGUUUGUAUGUAACGACCACUGCUCACUAUGUACUUUUUAAAGACACUUAAACUAUGGGGUCACCAAAGGUUCUCAACACCUUAAUAAAGUAAUUCGAAAAAUUAAUCAGAAAUAACACGAUGUUUUGAUUUAUAUCAAUUAUAUAAAUCAAAACAUAAAGGUUAUUCCUGAUUAAUUAUUUUAUAAUUAAAGGCGUUAAGAAACCUUUGGUGACCCCACAGUUUAAAUGUCUAUCGUAGGUACGUCGUGAACAGUGGUCGUUACAGACAAACGUUCACGUAAAUUGUCCAAGUCAAUGGAUGAAUUUAAUGUGUCAAUCAAUGGCCACAGCCACACUGUUUUGAAUUUCAUUCUAU